GCCGGCCCCUAAGGCGAGGCCGAAAGGCGUAGUCGAUGGGAACAACGUUAAUAUUCGUGGGCCUGCAAGUGACGGAUUGCGUGUGUUGUACAUUCUUAUUGGAUUGAAUGUGCAGCGAAGCGGUUCCAGGAAAUAGCUCCUGCAUAUAGACCGUACCCUAAACCGACACUGGUGGACUCGGUAGAGAAUACCAAGGCGCUUGAGAGAACUGCGUUGAAGGAACUCGGCAAAAUGCACGCG
RNAcentral lists this ribosomal RNA (240 nucleotides) under Brucella anthropi. Its description in RNAcentral is "Ochrobactrum anthropi partial 23S ribosomal RNA". It matches the Rfam family "Bacterial large subunit ribosomal RNA", at positions 1383 to 1730 of the family's 2925-position model. The record is from RNAcentral. Lineage: Bacteria; Pseudomonadati; Pseudomonadota; Alphaproteobacteria; Hyphomicrobiales; Brucellaceae.